Molecule: ribosomal RNA, 419 nt
Filed under: bacterium
Lineage: Bacteria
Description: partial 16S ribosomal RNA
Rfam family: Bacterial small subunit ribosomal RNA
Source: RNAcentral
UGGGGGAUAUUGCACAAUGGGCGAAAGCCUGAUGCAGCGACGCCGCGUGGGGGAUGAAGGCCUUCGGGUUGUAACCUUCUUUUGCUCUGAACAAGGCGCACCAUGGGGUGUGUUGAGUGUAGGGGUUGAUUAGCGCCGGCUAACUACGUGCCAGCAGCCGCGGUAAUACGUAGGGUGCGAGCGUUGUCCGGAAUUAUUGGGCGUAAAGGGCUUGUAGGUGGCUGGUUGCGUCUGUCGUGAAAGCUCAUGGCUUAACUGUGGGUUUGCGGGGGGUACGGGCUGGCUUGAGGGGAGUAGGGGAGGCUGGAAUUCCUGGUGGAGCGGUGGAAUGCGCAGUUAUCAGGAGGAAUACCGGUGGCGAAGGCGGGUCUCUGGGCUGUUACUGACACUGAGGAGCGAAAGCAUGGGGAGCGAACAGG